CAAUCGGCUUUUCUCAGAGCCACCAAUAUAUUAAUAAAAGAACUU
This is a non-coding RNA of Anopheles epiroticus, 45 nucleotides long. NCBI's taxonomy places the organism in Eukaryota, Metazoa, Arthropoda, Insecta, Diptera, Culicidae. The record is from Rfam.